GACGAACGCUGGCGGCGUGCUUAACACAUGCAAGUCGAACGAAAAGAGGGAAAGAGCUUGCUCUUUCCGGAAUUGAGUGGCAAACGGGUGAGUAACACGUAAACAACCUGCCUUCAGGAUGGGGACAACAGACGGAAACGACUGCUAAUACCGAAUAAGUUCCAAGAGCCGCAUGGCCCAUGGAAGAAAAGGUGGCCUCUACCUGUAAGCUAUCGCCUGAAGAGGGGUUUGCGUCUGAUUAGCUGGUUGGAGGGGUAACGGCCCACCAAGGCGACGAUCAGUAGCCGGUCCGAGAGGAUGAACGGCCACACUGGAACUGAGACACGGUCCAGACUCCUACGGGAGGCAGCAGUGGGGAAUCUUCCGCAAUGGGCGAAAGCCUGACGGAGCAACGCCGCGUGAGUGAUGACGGCCUUCGGGUUGUAAAACUCUGUGAUCCGGGACGAAAAGGCAGAGUGCGAAGAACAAACUGCAUUGACGGUACCGGAAAAGCAAGCCACGGCUAACUACGUG
RNAcentral lists this ribosomal RNA (513 nucleotides) under uncultured bacterium. Its description in RNAcentral is "partial 16S ribosomal RNA". It matches the Rfam family "Bacterial small subunit ribosomal RNA", at positions 28 to 507 of the family's 1533-position model. The record is from RNAcentral.